This 478-nucleotide ribosomal RNA is filed under the name uncultured bacterium. RNAcentral describes it as "partial 16S ribosomal RNA". It matches the Rfam family "Bacterial small subunit ribosomal RNA", at positions 28 to 507 of the family's 1533-position model. The record is from RNAcentral.
GAUGAACGCUGGCGGCGUGCUUAACACAUGCAAGUCGAACGGGAAACCUUUUAUUGCCGCUUCGGCAGAUUUAGCUGGUUUCUAGUGGCGGACGGGUGAGUAACGCGUGGGUAACCUGCCUUAUACAGGGGGAUAACAACCAGAAAUGGUUGCUAAUACCGCAUAAGCGCACAGGACCGCAUGGUCCGGUGUGAAAAACUCCGGUGGUAUAAGAUGGACCCGCGUUGGAUUAGCUAGUUGGCAGGGUAACGGCCUACCAAGGCGACGAUCCAUAGCCGGCCUGAGAGGGUGAACGGCCACAUUGGGACUGAGACACGGCCCAGACUCCUACGGGAGGCAGCAGUGGGGAAUAUUGCACAAUGGGGGAAACCCUGAUGCAGCGACGCCGCGUGAAGGAAGAAGUAUCUCGGGAUGUAAACUUCUAUCAGCAGGGAAGAUAGUGACGGUACCUGACGAAGAAGCCCCGGCUAACUACGUG